Molecule: long non-coding RNA, 368 nt
Filed under: Homo sapiens (human)
Lineage: Eukaryota; Metazoa; Chordata; Mammalia; Primates; Hominidae
Description: non-protein coding lnc-AMZ2-2:1
Source: RNAcentral
CUUUAAAUAAAAAAUCCAUAAAUUUAUUGCAAAUCUAGAAGUACCAGAAUGUCACUAAUACAGAACAGAUCAGCAAUCUUGUUUGUAUUUUCUUCCAAACAUUUAAAACCUUGAUUAUUGACAUACUGAAAUUGGCAUACAUUUUGUUUUCAUGCAGAUAACAGAAUAGACAUGGAGCAGAUCCCUCAGAAAUCAGUUAUAAAUAUUAAAUUGUAUUGAACAUUCAUAGUAAAAAAUAUGUCGUAAAGUGCUGAAGUCAUGUAAGUCUGCAAAACUGCCACAAGCUCAAAGUUCUCAAGCAGUGACAGAGAUUUGCUACAUCCACCUUGUUUUAGAUUAUGCCUGUUUUUGACAGACACUUUGUCAUU